CGUCUCGUGGCGUAGUGGUCAACGCGCCCCAGCUAGAGAUCGGGGAGUCGCGAGUUCGAUUCUCACUGAGAAGA
Aedes aegypti (yellow fever mosquito) is the source of this 74-nucleotide non-coding RNA. The record is from Rfam. NCBI's taxonomy places the organism in Eukaryota, Metazoa, Arthropoda, Insecta, Diptera, Culicidae.